RNAcentral lists this ribosomal RNA (241 nucleotides) under uncultured bacterium. RNAcentral describes it as "partial 16S ribosomal RNA". It matches the Rfam family "Bacterial small subunit ribosomal RNA", at positions 100 to 334 of the family's 1533-position model. The record is from RNAcentral.
CCGGCACGGGUGAGUAACACGUGUGCAAUCCACCUGUAACAGGGGGAUAACCCGGAGAAAUCCGGACUAAUACCCCAUAAUAUGGGCGCUCCGCAUGGAGAGCCCAUUAAAGAGAGCAAUUUUGGUUACAGACGAGCAUGCGCUCCAUUAGCCAGUUGGCGGGGUAACGGCCCACCAAAGCGACGAUGGAUAGGGGUUCUGAGAGGAAGGUCCCCCACAUUGGAACUGAGACACGGUCCAA